UGCUGAGAUGCAAGAACACAUUGCUUCAGUAGGGACUGCUUUUUGACUUCCAACCAUUCCUCUGGAUCUGCAUCCAUCGGUUUCCAACGCUGUGUAACACUCGGCUUCUGUAUCGGUUCUCCUUCGUAACUGCUGAGCUUUUGUGGUCGGUGUGCUUAUUCUCUCUGCUCGUUAGCCUCCUAGCAAAGAGAUCCUACUGGGAUGUAAAAAUUUGUAUGAAUAUAGCCCACUCUCCUGCAGCACUCUAAUCAACCUACCUGCAUUAAGUGAGGCUUUCUUUUGUUGACUGGCUGUUACCUAUUCUGUGCACCAGC
Molecule: long non-coding RNA, 314 nt
Organism: Lolium rigidum
Lineage: Eukaryota; Viridiplantae; Streptophyta; Magnoliopsida; Poales; Poaceae
Exons: 3
Source: RefSeq, a predicted model, not a curated record